Molecule: long non-coding RNA, 2591 nt
Filed under: Homo sapiens (human)
Lineage: Eukaryota; Metazoa; Chordata; Mammalia; Primates; Hominidae
Description: HSALNT0155439
Source: RNAcentral
GUCUGUUCUAGGAACAUUUCAUGGUGCCAGGGGCCAGGGUGCUGGCAGCUUGGGCAGGCCCGGGCGGGCCUGCGUUGCGUGCAUUUGGGGCAUGGAUCGGUUUGGGGUAGCAUCCCCGAAAUGGGUCUGUGUCUCUGGACAGUAGAACGCCUCUCAACCUAAGGCCCUGGCAGCGUCCGGGGUGUGGAGGAAUGUGUUACUGCCUUGCUUAUAACUCCUGCCGUGGGGAUGGCGUGUGGUGGGGAAGCCACCCUGGAGCAGCUUCAUGCUCCCGUCCGAAAGAGCUCCUUCAGCAGCUCGCGGCUGAGCCACACGACGCCUCUGCUGGGAGGCAGGAAGUUGCAUAUUCCUGCCCGUGUACCCGGCAGAACGUUCUUUCCACGUCCUACCAUUGACAAAUCCUCUUGGACUUCCUGGUCACUUCAUGAUGACAGCGUGCAGAGGGAGAGCAGGUAAUCAAAGGACGGCCAUGAUGAGGGCGAGGGGUUUUUCCUCCCAAAUUUGUAUGAUGAAAAUAUCCAAACAUACAGAAGAGUUGAAGGAAGAACAAGGAACACUCUCAGAGCCCAUCCUAGAGCUGACGCGUAACCAUGUCACACGCUUGCUUUAUCUGUCUGUGUAGAUACAUCUCUAGAGCUAUGUAUUUUUUGCCGUAAGUUUGAAAGUAAGUUCCAGGCAUCAUCCCUAAAUACUUUCGUGUGCUUUUCUAAGAAUGAGGAUAUUCUCUAACCACAACACCAUUAUCAUCUGAAGAAAAUUAACAGUGAUUUGAGACGGAGGGAUUUUGGGAAUUAGUCAAGGCGUAAGCGUUGAGACCUUCGUUAGAUGAGGAGGUACUGUGUUGUAUUACUGUUCGCAAAGCUUCCUUUGAGCUUGGUCCCCCUGCGGGGCAGCUGGAGAAAGAUGGAAUGACACUCCCAUUCCAAAGUUUGAGAUCUCCAGGGGAGCAGAGCACCACGCUAGUAGGGUAGGUGCUUGGGAUGUGCACAGGGAACACGUCCCAGGCCAGAGGCCACCCCUGGGUCCCCCUUCAUGCUCCUGGGCAUAGAGGCUCCUGUUUUCCCAGUUCUGCCCCGUCCAGAGGAGAGGGGGGUGGAGCUUGGCAGGCAGAUUGGAUCUGGGCUGAAUCUCUGUGAGACCUGGGCUGAUUGGGCUUCCCCGCGACCAAGUCCUCAGCUCCCCUUGGGGUCACGGAAGCUAAGCUUGGGUGGGGAGAUGUGGGGCCUUCCCAGGUGCUGAGCAACCCUUUUCUUUACCCUGUGGAGGGGACCUGGAGACAGGGACAGUGGAGGGGUUCAAGUGCCAAAAUCUCCCCAUCUCGACCCAGGGCUGAGAUGGGUCCCUGGAUCUUCCAGCUAUGAUGUCCCCAAGAAUCUGCAAAAUCUCCCACGACUCCUUCUGAUGGGGGGUGUGCGUUGGGGCGUGCCCAGGUGAGAGCUGCAGAUGGAGGCUGUGGGGUGACUGCAUUUAUCUGUGGGUGUGACCGAGCAUCUCACAGGUCCAGGAGGGUGGUCCUCAUAUGUGCACAGAGACUGGAGGGGCGAGGGUGCAUUUUGGUGCAUGUAUGGAUGUCCCAAGAGCAGAUCUGGGGUGUUCUCAUGUCAGAAUGUGGGUCUGUGCUCUGUGUAAUGUUAGAAAUAGGGCUUUGGGAACAGAAUAUUAUUCAGCCUUAAAAAGGGGCAAAAUUACAACACAUGCUACAACACGGUGAACCUGGAGGAUGUUAUACUAAGUGAAAUAAGCCAGUUACAAAAAGACAAUGCAGAAUGAAUCCAGUUAUAUGAGGCAUCUAGAGAAGUCAAGUUUAUAGAGGCAGAAAAUGGAAUGGAGAUUGCCAAGGGCUGGGGGACGGAGGAGUGGGGCGUUCUUACGUAGUGGGGACAGAGUUUCGGUUUUGCAAGAUGAAAUGAGUUCUAGAAAUGAAUGGGGUGAUGAUUGUACAACAACGUGAAGGUACUUAAUGCUACCAAACUGUACUUUUAGAUAUGGUUAAGUGGGUGAAUGUUGCAUGAUCUGUAUUUUGCCACAGUGAGAAAAAAAAAGUGGGGUUCUGGUGGCCGUGACUGGCUGCCUUGUAAGGUUUCCUGUUUCUGAAUGAUGGUGACACCCACCCCGUCCCCAUGUGACCUGCUUGCUCACUACUGUUUACCAGGAAAGCCAGAAUAUUGUCACUAGGAGAGAAUGUUGUCAAUCAGAGGAAAUCUAACAGAGCCAGGGAGAUGCUUUGGGGAUCAUACAAGUCUCAAACCCAAGACCCGUUUCUGGAAAUGCUACCGUGUUCCAAGCAGAUCUCACCAGCUAGGAAUGGAAACAGAGGCAUUCUGUCAAAGGAAAGAACUUGAUGAGAAAUUAUUUUAUGAAAGCCAAAUUUUGGCAUGUUUUCACAUUUUAGUUUGUCAGAACACAGAGUAAUAAAUGUUAAACAUGUUGUUUAUUAUUAUGCUCGGUUGAUUUCUUUAUGAUGACAAUUUUAUUUUUCAAGUUUGUCCUCGAGUGACUGCAGGAUUCCAGAACAGAACGGGAGAGAUGUUUUACAGUUUAUCCCAGCAGGACCACUGGGAGAACAGUUUUUAUUUAAAAAAAAAAAAAAA